UACAGAGGUCUCGAGCGUUAGGCGGAAUCACUGGGCUUAAAGCGUGUGUAGGCGGAUCGGUAAGUACCUUGUGAAAUCCCACAGCUUAACUGUGGAACUGCUUGGUAUACUGCCAGUCUUGAGCCAGCUAGGGGCUACCGGAACAAAUGGUGGAGCGGUGAAAUGCGUAGAUAUCAGGAGGAACACCGGUGGUGUAGACGGCUUACUGGACCAUAACUGACGCUGAGACACGAAAGCGUGGGUAGCAAACAGG
RNAcentral lists this ribosomal RNA (253 nucleotides) under uncultured bacterium. RNAcentral describes it as "partial 16S ribosomal RNA". It matches the Rfam family "Bacterial small subunit ribosomal RNA", at positions 524 to 776 of the family's 1533-position model. The record is from RNAcentral.